GCUGAAGCUCAGUGGUAAAGUGCUUGCCUUGCAUGUAUGAGGGACUGGGUUCAAUCCUCAGCAUCA
Molecule: transfer RNA, 66 nt
Filed under: Marmota monax (woodchuck)
Lineage: Eukaryota; Metazoa; Chordata; Mammalia; Rodentia; Sciuridae
Description: tRNA.Ala
Source: RNAcentral